CCUACGGGAGGCAGCAGUGAGGAAUAUUGGUCAAUGGACGCAAGUCUGAACCAGCCAUGCCGCGUGCAGGAAGACGGCUCUAUGAGUUGUAAACUGCUUUUGUACGAGGGUAAACGCAGAUACGUGUAUCUGUCUGAAAGUAUCGUACGAAUAAGGAUCGGCUAACUCCUUGCCAGCAGCCGCGGUAAUACGGAGGAUUCAAGCGUUAUCCGGAUUUAUUGGGUUUAAGGGGUGCGUAGGCGGUCGGAUAAGUUAGAGGUGAAAUCCCGAGGCUCAACUUCGGAAUUGCCUCUGAUACUGUUCGGCGAGAGAGUAGUUGCGGUAGGCGGAAUGUAUGGUGUAGCGGUGAAAUGCUUAGAGAUCAUACAGAACACCGAUUGCGAAGGCAGCUUACCAAGCUACUUCUGACGUUGAGGCACGAAAGCGUGGGGAGCAAACAGGAUUAGAUACCCGGGUAGUC
Molecule: ribosomal RNA, 460 nt
Filed under: uncultured bacterium
Lineage: Bacteria
Description: partial 16S ribosomal RNA
Rfam family: Bacterial small subunit ribosomal RNA
Source: RNAcentral